RNAcentral lists this ribosomal RNA (253 nucleotides) under uncultured bacterium. Its description in RNAcentral is "partial 16S ribosomal RNA". It matches the Rfam family "Bacterial small subunit ribosomal RNA", at positions 524 to 776 of the family's 1533-position model. The record is from RNAcentral.
UACGUAGGGUGCGAGCGUUGUCCGGAAUUAUUGGGCGUAAAGGGCUCGUAGGCGGUUUGUCGCGUCGGGAGUGAAAUCAUCUGGCUUAACUGGGUGCUUGCUUUCGAUACGGGCAGACUAGAGGUAUGCAGGGGAGAACGGAAUUCCUGGUGUAGCGGUGAAAUGCGCAGAUAUCAGGAGGAACACCGGUGGCGAAGGCGGUUCUCUGGGCAUGAUCUGACGCUGAGGAGCGAAAGCGUGGGGAGCGAACGGG